AACCCUUGCGGGGUGAGUGGCGCACGGGAUCGUAACGCGUGGGGAACCUGCCCUUAGGUUUGGAAUAACAGUGAGAAAAUCGCUGCUAAUACCAAAUAAUGUCUCGGAACCAAAGGAUUUAUCGCUUUGAUGGGCCCGCGUUGGAUUAGCUAGUUGGUGGGGUAAAGGCUCACCAAGGCGACGAUCCAUAGCUGGUCUUAAAGGAUGAUCAGCCACACUGGGACUGAACACGACCCAUACUCCUACGGGAGGCAGCANGU
This 260-nucleotide ribosomal RNA is filed under the name uncultured Alphaproteobacteria bacterium. Its description in RNAcentral is "partial 16S ribosomal RNA". It matches the Rfam family "Bacterial small subunit ribosomal RNA", at positions 78 to 353 of the family's 1533-position model. Lineage: Bacteria; Pseudomonadati; Pseudomonadota; Alphaproteobacteria. The record is from RNAcentral.